GGGCGCAGCCUGAUCCAGCCAUGCCGCGUGAGUGAUGAAGGCCCUAGGGUUGUAAAGCUCUUUUGUGCGGGAAGAUAAUGACGGUACCGCAAGAAUAAGCCCCGGCUAACUUCGUGCCAGCAGCCGCGGUAAUACGAAGGGGGCUAGCGUUGCUCGGAAUCACUGGGCGUAAAGGGUGCGUAGGCGGGUCUUUAAGUCAGG
RNAcentral lists this ribosomal RNA (201 nucleotides) under uncultured Afipia sp. RNAcentral describes it as "partial 16S ribosomal RNA". It matches the Rfam family "Bacterial small subunit ribosomal RNA", at positions 373 to 592 of the family's 1533-position model. Lineage: Bacteria; Pseudomonadati; Pseudomonadota; Alphaproteobacteria; Hyphomicrobiales; Nitrobacteraceae. The record is from RNAcentral.